Molecule: ribosomal RNA, 748 nt
Filed under: uncultured Entrophospora
Lineage: Eukaryota; Fungi; Glomeromycota; Glomeromycetes; Entrophosporales; Entrophosporaceae
Description: eukaryotic LSU rRNA
Rfam family: Eukaryotic large subunit ribosomal RNA
Source: RNAcentral
GCAUAUCAAUAAGCGGAGGAAAAGAACCUAACAAAGGAUUCCCCUAGUAACGGCGAGUGAAGAGGGAAGAGCUCAAAUUUUAAAAUCUACCUUGUUUCAAGGUCGAGUUGUAAUUUGAAAGAUGCGUUUUCUCGGGCCCGCACCGGUAGAAGUUCUCUUUGGAACAGGGCAUCAUAGAGGGUGAUAAUCCCGUCUGUGGCCGGUCGCGAGUUCGUAUACGAUACGCACUCUAAGAGUCGAGUUGUUUGGGAUUGCAGCUCAAAACGGGUGGUAAACAUCACCUAAGGCUAAAUAUUGGCGAGAGACCGAUAGCGAACAAGUACCGUGAGGGAAAGAUGAAAAGAACUUUGAAAAGAGAGUUAAACAGUACGUGAAAUUGUUGAAAGGGAAACGCUUGAAGUCAGUCGUGCUGGCAUGAAAUCAACUGUUGCGCUAGUAAGUUGUCUGCGGGUGAGCUAAAAACCAUCGCGUUGACAUCUUUGCGCGCGCAGCGGUGCACUUUUGUGUCAGCUGGUUAGCAUCAAUUUCGACCGUCAUAAAAAGGCUGGGGGGAUGUGGCUCCUUCGGGAGUGUUAUAACCCUUAGCGGAAUGUGGUGGACGAGAUUGAGGUUUGCAACGGGUGUUGCUCUACCUGGCCUCUCGCUGGCGCCCUGGAGGCGACAGCUCGCUGACGUCUUUGGGAAGUGCUGACGAAAAGGUUAGAGCGGAGUUGCCCUUUUUUAUGCUGACGUAAUGGCUUUAAACGAC